GCGCUUAACACAUGCAAGUCGGACGAGAAAGUGGGGGCAACUCCAUGAGUACAGUGGCGUACGGGUGAGUAACACGUGGGGAUCUACCUUCUGGUGGGGGAUAACUCUGGGAAACCGGAGCUAAUACCGCAUGAGCAGGGGACUGGAAAGCCGAAAGGCGCCGGAAGAGGAGCCCGCGGCCGAUUAGCCAGUUGGUGAGGUAACGGCUCACCAAAGCCAAGAUCGGUAGCCGGCCUGAGAGGGCACACGGCCACACUGGCACUGAAACACGGGCCAG
This 277-nucleotide ribosomal RNA is filed under the name uncultured bacterium. RNAcentral's name for it is "partial 16S ribosomal RNA". It matches the Rfam family "Bacterial small subunit ribosomal RNA", at positions 44 to 334 of the family's 1533-position model. The record is from RNAcentral.